Molecule: non-coding RNA, 24 nt
Filed under: Gossypium hirsutum (cotton)
Lineage: Eukaryota; Viridiplantae; Streptophyta; Magnoliopsida; Malvales; Malvaceae
Source: RNAcentral
UUGUGUUUUUUGGUUCUUAUGCUU